UCCACGAUGGCCCGGUCCCUGGUGUGCCUUGGUGUCAUCAUCUUGCUGUCUGCCUUCUCCGGACCUGGUGUCAGGGGUGGUCCUAUGCCCAAGCUGGCUGACCGGAAGCUGUGUGCGGACCAGGAGUGCAGCCACCCUAUCUCCAUGGCUGUGGCCCUUCAGGACUACAUGGCCCCCGACUGCCGAUUCCUGACCAUUCACCGGGGCCAAGUGGUGUAUGUCUUCUCCAAGCUGAAGGGCCGUGGGCGGCUCUUCUGGGGAGGCAGCGUUCAGGGAGAUUACUAUGGAGAUCUGGCUGCUCGCCUGGGCUAUUUCCCCAGUAGCAUUGUCCGAGAGGACCAGACCCUGAAACCUGGCAAAGUCGAUGUGAAGACAGACACUUCCUCUUCAAAUUCCUGGUGAUUGGCAGUGCAGGAACUGGCAAAUCAUGUCUCCUUCAUCAGUUCAUUGAGAAUAAGUUCAAACAGGACUCCAACCACACAAUCGGCGUGGAGUUUGGAUCCCGGGUGGUCAACGUGGGUGGGAAGACUGUGAAGCUACAGAUUUGGGACACGGCUGGCCAGGAGCGGUUUCGGUCAGUGACGCGGAGUUAUUACCGAGGGGCGGCUGGAGCCCUGCUGGUGUACGACAUCACCAGCCGGGAGACAUACAACUCACUGGCUGCCUGGCUGACGGAUGCCCGCACCCUGGCCAGCCCCAACAUCGUGGUCAUCCUCUGUGGCAACAAGAAGGACCUGGACCCUGAGCGGGAGGUCACUUUCCUGGAGGCCUCCCGCUUUGCCCAGGAGAAUGAGCUGAUGUUCCUGGAGACCAGCGCUCUCACAGGCGAGAACGUGGAGGAGGCGUUCCUCAAGUGUGCCCGCACUAUCCUCAACAAGAUUGACUCAGGCGAGCUAGACCCGGAGAGGAUGGGCUCUGGCAUUCAGUACGGGGAUGCGUCCCUCCGCCAGCUUCGGCAGCCUCGGAGUGCCCAGGCCGUGGCCCCUCAGCCGUGUGGCUGCUGAGCUCUGUGGAGCCAGCUCACCUGUUCUCCAGGACCAGCCCUGCUGGGGCCCAGGCCCAGGCUCUGAGAGGCCGUGUCCUAACCUGCCCUGGCCCCGGAGAAGCUACGUUGCCACCUGUCCCCCUUCCCUGGCCUGGUGGGGCCUGGCUUUGGGGCAAGACUGAGCCACGGGGGAAGGGGGAAUCCCGUACCUGCUGCUGCUUCCUCUGUCUUGGCUAACGUCUGUCCCCCUGAACCCCUAACCAUACCCCAAGAGCUCCCAAAGCCUGAGACCAGGGUCAUUUGUCCCCAACUCCCCAUCUGGCCCUGCUGUUGCUAGUACCUGUUAUUUAUUACCUGGAGGCCUGUCCAGCACCCACCCUACCCCCAUAAAGCAUUGUUUACACCUGUG
This is a long non-coding RNA of Homo sapiens (human), 1394 nucleotides long. RefSeq annotates it as MIA-RAB4B readthrough (NMD candidate). The record is from RefSeq and is marked validated. Lineage: Eukaryota; Metazoa; Chordata; Mammalia; Primates; Hominidae. The transcript is spliced from 10 exons.